CCAGGGCCCUCAGCAUUGCAGGUACUGAAGGAUCUAUGGGAACAUCGAGACUUACCCUUGGACUCUCUCAGGUUGAAGCCUGCUGGAGUCCAUUGGCUAACUGAAGGUAUUUCUAAGUAUUAUUGUGUGCUGACAUUGGAUGUGAACACAUCUUACAGCCAGCUCAAGGUGUCAGAUGACCGCAGGACUGUCACUGAUGUGAAGACAAACCAGAACUAUCCAGAUCACCCACACAGGUUUGCUUACUGUCCUCAAAUCCUAUGCUCCACUCCUCUCACCGGCCGCUGCUACUGGGAGCUGUACUGGGAAGGAGAGGUUGAUAUAGCAGUGAGUUACAGAGGAAUAAGCCGGAAGAAACUUUCUAAAGUUUGCAAGUUUGGAAAAAAUGAUCAGUCUUGGAGCCUGAAGGUCUCUGAUCAUAAAUACACUGAAAGUCAUCCCAGAAGAAAAGCAUACCAGUCUCCAACCUCCUCUGGCCAUGUGGCAGUGUACCUGGACCAUUCUGCCGGUUCUUUGUCAUUUUUCAGUAUUGUCAAUGAAGAACUGGUUCAUAUUCACAC
Boleophthalmus pectinirostris (great blue-spotted mudskipper) is the source of this 560-nucleotide long non-coding RNA. RefSeq lists it as uncharacterized. Lineage: Eukaryota; Metazoa; Chordata; Actinopteri; Gobiiformes; Gobiidae. The record is from RefSeq and is a predicted model, not a curated record. The transcript has 3 exons.